RNAcentral lists this non-coding RNA (24 nucleotides) under Arabidopsis thaliana (thale cress). The record is from RNAcentral. Lineage: Eukaryota; Viridiplantae; Streptophyta; Magnoliopsida; Brassicales; Brassicaceae.
GGAAUGGUACAUGGGAUUUCAGCU